AUGACUAUGAGGAUGCUGGUGAGACUUUCUUCCCCAAGCGCGCAAGCCAAACGCAUCAUCGCUAUUUCCGCGCGAGGUAGCUCAACACAUCGUCCACAUCCUCUACAACGCCAACAUCCUUUGAAGUUUGAACUGCAGAUGGAGCUGAUGGCAUUAAGACAGGAACCCACUAUAGAAUUUGAGAGCCGGCUGGUGUCCGCUGGAGGAAGACAAUGCCAAAGUGCCAUUGGUUGGAGGAUGUUGACUUCGAAGUGUCGUUCGCCGGAGGAAGAUGAUGUACAAGGUGUAACCUAUAAUCUAGAGGACAAUUAA
Molecule: ribosomal RNA, 312 nt
Filed under: Triticum aestivum (bread wheat)
Lineage: Eukaryota; Viridiplantae; Streptophyta; Magnoliopsida; Poales; Poaceae
Description: partial small subunit ribosomal RNA
Source: RNAcentral